RNAcentral lists this ribosomal RNA (465 nucleotides) under uncultured bacterium. Its description in RNAcentral is "partial 16S ribosomal RNA". It matches the Rfam family "Bacterial small subunit ribosomal RNA", at positions 338 to 795 of the family's 1533-position model. The record is from RNAcentral.
CCUACGGGAGGCUGCAGUAGGGAAUCUUCCACAAUGGGCGAAAGCCUGAUGGAGCAACGCCGCGUGGGUGAAGAGGGUCUUCGGAUCGUAAAACCCUGUUGUCAGAGAAGAAAGUGCGUGAGAGUAACUGUUCACGUUUCGACGGUAUCUAACCAGACAGCCACGGCUAACUACGUGCCAGCAGCCGCGGUAAUACGUAGGUGGCAAGCGUUAUCCGGAUUUAUUGGGCGUAAGGGGAACGCAGGCGGUCUUGUAAGUCUGAUGUGAAAGCCUUCGGCUUAACCGGAGUAGUGCAUUGGAAACUGGGGGACUUGAGUGCAGAAGAGGAGAGUGGAACUCCAUGUGUAGCGGUGAAAUGCGUAGAUAUAUGGAAGAACACCAGUGGCGAAAGCGGCUCUCUGGGCUGUAACUGACGCUGAGGUUCGAAAGCGUGGGUAGCAAACAGGAUUAGAUACCCUUGUAGUC